Molecule: transfer RNA, 86 nt
Filed under: Saccharopolyspora gloriosae
Lineage: Bacteria; Bacillati; Actinomycetota; Actinomycetes; Pseudonocardiales; Pseudonocardiaceae
Description: tRNA-Thr
Source: RNAcentral
GGGAACGUCGACUGACAGCGUCAGACGUCGACAAGCGCCGAUUGGUAAUCCGUGGGUUCUGGGUUCGAUCCCCAGGCGCCCCACCA